Molecule: ribosomal RNA, 929 nt
Filed under: uncultured prokaryote
Description: bacterial SSU rRNA
Rfam family: Bacterial small subunit ribosomal RNA
Source: RNAcentral
AGCAGCCGCGGUAAUACGGAGGGUCAAGCGUUAAUCGGAAUUACUGGGCGUAAAGCGCGCGUAGGCGGUUUAAUAAGUUGUAUGUGAAAGCCCUGGGCUCAACCUAGGAACUGCAUACAAAACUAUUAAGCUUGAGGACGAGAGAGGAGAGUAGAAUUUCAGGUGUAGCGGUGAAAUGCGUAGAUAUCUGAAGGAAUACCAAUGGCGAAGGCAGCUCUCUGGCUCGUUUCUGACGCUAAGGUGCGAAAGCGUGGGUAGCAAACAGGAUUAGAUACCCUGGUAGUCCACGCCGUAAACGAUGAUAACUAGCCGUUGGGCAGAUUUAACUGUUCAGUGGCACAGCUAACGCAUUAAGUUAUCCGCCUGGGGAGUACGGCCGCAAGGCUAAAACUCAAAUGAAUUGACGGGGGCCCGCACAAGUGGUGGAGCAUGUGGUUUAAUUCGAUGCAACGCGAAGAACCUUACCAACCUUUGAAAUCCAGAGAAGUCACCAGAGAUGGAGAUGUGCCUUCGGGAACUCUGUGACAGGUGUUGCAUGGCUGUCGUCAGCUCGUGUCGUGAGAUGUAUGGUUAAGUCCAGUAACGAGCGCAACCCCUAUCUUUAUUUGCCAGCGCGUAAUGGCGGGAACUAUAGAGAGACUGCCGGUCAAAAACCGGAGGAAGGCGGGGACGAGGUCAAGUCAUCAUGGCCCUUAUAGGUUGGGCUACACACGUGCUACAAUGGGAUGUACAGAGGGUUGCGAAAGCGCGAGCUGGAGCCAAACCCUUAAAGCAUUUCGUAGUCCGGAUUGGAGUCUGCAACUCGACUCCAUGAAGUCGGAAUCACUAGUAAUCGCGAAUCAGAAUGUCGCGGUGAAUACGUUCUCGGGCCUUGUACACACCGCCCGUCACAUCAUGGAGGUGGGUUGCACCAGAAGUGGUUAGUCUAA